Non-coding RNA from Phyllosticta citrichinensis, 97 nucleotides. The record is from the annotation of a GenBank genome assembly. Lineage: Eukaryota; Fungi; Ascomycota; Dothideomycetes; Botryosphaeriales; Phyllostictaceae.
GGCGCGGUGGCCUAAUGGUAAGGCGUCGCUUUCCGGCUACGGAGAACUCCCAAAGAGUGAUUGGCGAAGAUUGUGGGUUCGAGUCCCAUCCGCGUCG